This 27-nucleotide non-coding RNA is filed under the name Homo sapiens (human). Lineage: Eukaryota; Metazoa; Chordata; Mammalia; Primates; Hominidae. The record is from RNAcentral.
AAAGCUUAAUUUUGUGCAUGGUGAUGU